Molecule: small nuclear RNA, 149 nt
Filed under: Panthera leo (lion)
Lineage: Eukaryota; Metazoa; Chordata; Mammalia; Carnivora; Felidae
Also listed under: 1 other name
Description: U2 spliceosomal RNA (ENSPLOG00000017879.1)
Rfam family: U2 spliceosomal RNA
About the family: U2 is a small nuclear RNA (snRNA) component of the spliceosome (involved in pre-mRNA splicing). Complementary binding between U2 snRNA (in an area lying towards the 5' end but 3' to hairpin I) and the branchpoint sequence (BPS) of the intron results the bulging out of an unpaired adenosine, on the BPS, which initiates a nucleophilic attack at the intronic 5' splice site, thus starting the first of two transesterification reactions that mediate splicing.
Source: Rfam by way of RNAcentral
AUCGCUUCUCGGCCUUUUGGCUAAGAUCAAGUGUAGUAUCUGUUCUUAUCAGAAGGCAGUGCUCCCCCAGGGACCUUAGAUGUUGAGGGGUAUGGCUCAGGACGAGCCAGGUGUAUCCUGGCAGAGCUUGUCAUUCGUAGGAACGUUAU